ACGAGUGGCGGACGGGUGAGUAACACGUAGGUAACCUGCCCAGAAGCGGGGGACAACAUUUGGAAACAGAUGCUAAUACCGCAUAACAGCGUUGUUCGCAUGAACAACGCUUAAAAGAUGGCUUCUCGCUAUCACUUCUGGAUGGACCUGCGGUGCAUUAGCUUGUUGGUGGGGUAACGGCCUACCAAGGCGAUGAUGCAUAGCCGAGUUGAGAGACUGAUCGGCCACAAUGGGACUGAGACACGGCCCAUACUCCUACGGGAGGCAGCAGUAGGGAAUCUUCCACAAUGGGCGCAAGCCUGAUGGAGCAACACCGCGUGAGUGAAGAAGGGUUUCGGCUCGUAAAGCUCUGUUGUUAAAGAAGAACACGUAUGAGAGUAACUGUUCAUACGUUGACGGUAUUUAACCAGAAAGUCACGGCUAACUACGUGCCAGCAGCCGCGGUAAUACGUAGGUGGCAAGCGUUAUCCGGAUUUAUUGGGCGUAAAGAGAGUGCAGGCGGUUUUCUAAGUCUGAUGUGAAAGCCUUCGGCUUAACCGGAGAAGUGCAUCGGAAACUGGAUAACUUGAGUGCAGAAGAGGGUAGUGGAACUCCAUGUGUAGCGGUGGAAUGCGUAGAUAUAUGGAAGAACACCAGUGGCGAAGGCGGCUACCUGGUCUGCAACUGACGCUGAGACUCGAAAGCAUGGGUAGCGAACAGGAUUAGAUACCCUGGUAGUCCAUGCCGUAAACGAUGAGUGCUAGGUGUUGGAGGGUUUCCGCCCUUCAGUGCCGGAGCUAACGCAUUAAGCACUCCGCCUGGGGAGUACGACCGCAAGGUUGAAACUCAAAGGAAUUGACGGGGGCCCGCACAAGCGGUGGAGCAUGUGGUUUAAUUCGAAGCUACGCGAAGAACCUUACCAGGUCUUGACAUCUUGCGCCAACCCUAGAGAUAGGGCGUUUCCUUCGGGAACGCAAUGACAGGUGGUGCAUGGUCGUCGUCAGCUCGUGUCGUGAGAUGUUGGGUUAAGUCCCGCAACGAGCGCAACCCUUGUUACUAGUUGCCAGCAUUAAGUUGGGCACUCUAGUGAGACUGCCGGUGACAAACCGGAGGAAGGUGGGGACGACGUCAGAUCAUCAUGCCCCUUAUGACCUGGGCUACACACGUGCUACAAUGGACGGUACAACGAGUCGCGAACUCGCGAGGGCAAGCAAAUCUCUUAAAACCGUUCUCAGUUCGGACUGCAGGCUGCAACUCGCCUGCACGAAGUCGGAAUCGCUAGUAAUCGCGGAUCAGCAUGCCGCGGUGAAUACGUUCCCGGGCCUUGUACACACCGCCCGUCACACCAUGAGAGUUUGUAACACCCAAAGUCGGUGGGGUAACCUUUUAGGAGCCACCCGC
Molecule: ribosomal RNA, 1380 nt
Filed under: Limosilactobacillus fermentum
Lineage: Bacteria; Bacillati; Bacillota; Bacilli; Lactobacillales; Lactobacillaceae
Description: Lactobacillus fermentum 16S ribosomal RNA
Rfam family: Bacterial small subunit ribosomal RNA
Source: RNAcentral